RNAcentral lists this unclassified non-coding RNA (288 nucleotides) under uncultured fungus. Its description in RNAcentral is "partial contains 5.8S rRNA, ITS2 and 28S rRNA". It matches the Rfam family "Eukaryotic large subunit ribosomal RNA", at positions 668 to 961 of the family's 3401-position model. Lineage: Eukaryota; Fungi. The record is from RNAcentral.
AAGGAGUCCAACACAUAUGCGAGUGUUUGGGUGUCAAACCCGGGCGCGAAAUGAAAGUGAAUGCAGGUGGGAUUCUUCGGAAGCACCAUCGACCGGUCUGGAUAUUUAUGAAAGAUCUGAGUAAGAGCAUCUGUGUUGGGACCCGAAAGAUGGUGAACUAUGCCUGAAUAGGGUGAAGUCAGAGGAAACUCUGAUGGAAGCUCGUAGCGGUUCUGACGUGCAAAUCGAUCGUCAAAUUUGGGUAUAGGGGCGAAAGACUAAUCGAACCAUCUAGUAGCUGGUUCCCUC